GCGUUUAUUAUACCAGAAUUAAAUGUUAUGUUAAACAAGAGAGUAAAUGAUAAAUUGUCAGUGUUUACAGGAGAAAUGUUGGCCAUUCUCUUAGCACUUGAGUGGGUAGAAAAUGGUAAAACAAGGAAAGUGUUGAUUGGAUCAGAUUCAAGCAGUGCAUUAAAUAGUUUUAAGAACAUGCAGUCGGACGUGAGACAGGACAUUAUGUUGGAAAUAGCCCAAACUGUUUACAGAAUUAAAAGAGUAGGAGUAAUAGUAAAAUUCAUAUGGAUUCCAGCUCAUAUAGGGGUAGACGGAAAUGAGUUGGCAGACAAAUAUGCAAAAAAUGCAACCAAUAAAACAGAGAUAGAUAUGGUAAUAAAUUAUAGUAAGGCGGAGGUUAAAAGUAUAAUCAAAGAAGAAAUGAGGAAGAAGUGGCAGGAAAAGUGGAAUAUGGAAACAAAAGCGAGAAUGUACUACAAUAUCCAGAAGAAGAGUAGUGAGUGAAGGCUAUUAGGAUCCACACUCCAUUUCAGAAGGUGGCGGUAAUGCACACUUAAAAGUUGUUUGCCAACCGCCAAUUUAAAGAAGAAGAAGAAGAAGAAGACAGAAAAACAUUAAUGCGGUGUGAGUUGAAGAGUGAGCCUCUUGGUGUAUCGUCUGUGCAAACAGGAGAAUUUCGGCUUGGUGUCUGCGUGUAUGGUAACCAGUAAAUGGUGCCAGUAGUCACGAGUCUACAGACACUUGUUCGCAAAAUAGCGAGUAGUGAUUUUACAUGGGUUUGAAGUAACGAGUAACAUCGAGGAGAGUGUCCAGCAAUUAAACAUUCAUGCCGUUUAACUUUGUUAAAGGGUAUAUAGCUCUUACUUAUUUGGGCUGGUGUCAAAAGAAAAAAAUGUAUUUUUUUUAUUUAUUUUUAUUUUAAUCCUUUCUUAGACUUAAUGUUUUUAAAAUGUUACAAUGUGACUUAUAAAAUUCGUUUGUGAUUUAUAGGAGGAUUGCCUUCGUCGGUCACUAGCUACUGUUUUUCCUGGGUUUAAUCUUGUUUCAUUUUGUAUUUCUUCAUAUGUGUGUCUUGGGGAUCCGCUACCACUGUUCUUUGACCUGGACCCAGUUAAUUUAGAUGUUGUUGUGUUUUUUGUGUUUGUUUGGCAAUUGUCGUCAUUCAACCUUUGGCCCAUGGGCAUUGUGCAAUAUUUCCUUUAGGGACCGUGUCUAUCUUGCAAUGUUUACUGGUGUGAAGUGUGAAAUGCUGUGUUAAUGUACGCAUGGCCAAUUUAGUUUGAAGUGUUUCUUGCAGUGUUGGAGUGUAUGUGAACAGUACCUAUAUAUCUGACUUGAUUCACUGUAGUCUAGGCAUUGUUAGAUUUUUAUCUCGUAACUCAUUUAUUAUGAGACCUUUUAUUCACUGUGAUUAAUCUAUUGUAGAAUCGUUCACUGUUACCUAUGGGGAAACAUCUGUCUGCUCUGAUUGCCAAUCAGUGUAUUGUCUAGUGUUUAAUAAAAUUGAGUACAUCAGUCCCAUUUUCAUCCCUUGAUUGGAGAUAACUGUCUAAAUCGCUUGAAGGGGAGUGCUGUUUGGGGUUUUCUACUUUAGAUUUACAAAUUGUGAGGGGUCACAUUGACUUUAA
Long non-coding RNA from Carassius auratus (goldfish), 1610 nucleotides. RefSeq lists it as uncharacterized. The transcript is spliced from 3 exons. NCBI's taxonomy places the organism in Eukaryota, Metazoa, Chordata, Actinopteri, Cypriniformes, Cyprinidae. The record is from RefSeq and is a predicted model, not a curated record.